CACAAUUCGUCGUUCUGCAGCGGUGAGCUUGCAAAGUGGCUCCAAAUCCGGUUGAGUUUUCGCACAUGGAUCGCCAGCAGCGUUCACGGGCCCUCGCAGGCUCUCCGGGGGCCCGACGCGCGGAUUUGUGUCAGUAAGUGAUGUGUCCCACUCCUGCCGUGCACGCGUAAAAUGGAAUACGCUGUCUCGUAGCCCCUUUGGACGCAAAUGAUGGGGCCGUUUUACGCACUGGAUCUAUUAUUAUUAUUACCGCUGCGAGGCAUUCUGGAUGCUUGAAAUCAAAAAGACUGCGACGAAUAUAGUGAGAAAGAAACACUCUUGUGCUUGUUAAUUGUGAAAAGAAUUUGAGUAUGGAGCACACGGGCAUCGAGGAGGUGAACCAAACUCACCAGCAGCAGCAGCAGGCGCCGCCGCCGCACGAGCCUAUCAGUUUCGGCAUCGACCAGAUCCUCAACAGCUCGGACAUGUUGCCCAACCGGACCGGAGAGCCGGAGUACGCCGCGCUGGCCGCCGCCUCCAACGCCGUCUACGGCAACGGGUACGGCGGAGUCUACAACCCGGCCUGCUCCAUGGGCCUGGGGGGUUCCUACAACGUUAACAUGAACAUGAAUGUCAGCAUGAACAUGAACGUCAACGUCAACUCGGCGGCGGCGGGAGGGGGAGCGCCCGCGGGGGCCGGUGGGGUGAUCCGGGUCCCCGCGCACAGGCCCAUGCCGCCGCCUCCACCGCCGCCGCCCAACUCGGCGGCGGGCGGUGCUCAUCAGCCGCCGCCCGGUCUUGGCCCGGUGCCGGGCAUGGGGCAUGUGGGCAAUGGCAACUUUACCUUCCCUUGGAUGGAGAGCAGCAGGAGGUUUGCCAAGGACAGACUGACAGGGGAGCAGGCAGAGGAGAGCCGAACACGAGAGGCCGCAGGGGCCCCGGGGGCCGGGCCCCUCUGCGCUCUCCCCAAGGGGGACAUCGGAAGGGUCCCCGUCUGGAGCACGGUGGAGACCUUAGCUAAAUGCUAUUACCCCGAGCUCGCACACCUGCGAGACGGUAAUGGCCUCCUCGCAGACUAUUCCUUCCCAAAGGGGGCUUGCCCAGCCGCCCUGUCGCCUUUCUCCGUGACCCGCCGCAUCGGGCACCCGUACCAGAACCGAACGCCACCCAAGAGGAAAAAGCCCCGCACGUCUUUCAGUCGGGUGCAGAUCUGCGAGCUGGAAAAGCGCUUCCACCGGCAAAAGUACUUGGCGUCGGCCGAGCGGGCCACCCUGGCCAAGGCCCUCAAGAUGACGGACGCCCAAGUCAAGACGUGGUUUCAGAACAGGAGGACAAAAUGGCGGAGACAAACAGCAGAGGAGCGAGAAGCCGAGAGGCAGCAGGCCAAUCGUCUCAUGCUUCAGCUACAGCAGGAAGCCUUCCAGAAGACCUUGAGCCAACCCCUGCAGCCCGACCCACUCUGCCUGCACAACUCCUCUUUGUACGCCCUGCAGAACCUCCAGCCCUGGGCGGAUGACAAUAAGGAUUCUGGUGGGUAGAAGCCAAUGACUCCUUCUGAAUGGACAAAAUAUGGACAAAGUAAACUACUCAAAAAAGUUGGAGAUACAGAGUUUUCAGGUGAAGGCGCGUAUCCCUACUUUUUCUGACGGUCUAAAAAGGCAGGAGGGAGUUCCUAACUAAUGGACACCUGUGUACAUGUCCACCUAUCAAGACUGUUCCCUUCUAUCUUCCUUUUUACCGCUGGAACCUUCAAGAGGAUGCAGAGACUUUUCUGCCCGUGUCUGCAAAAAUGAAAACAUAAAAAAAACACCUGGAUUCUCCAUUGACUUUGUACAAUGUAGUAAUAAAAAAAAAUGCAUGUUUAAAGUCUUUUCUGUAUGCGCUGGCUGGGAGUUCUGCUGCUUAGCCACGCUCUUCAUGGAUACGGACUUCCUCGCGAUGGUCCGUUGAAAAGGGUGUUUUAUAUUAAAUGAU
Corythoichthys intestinalis (scribbled pipefish) is the source of this 1953-nucleotide RNA transcript. It is a transcript of the gene named T cell leukemia homeobox 2, with no coding region annotated. The transcript has 6 exons. Lineage: Eukaryota; Metazoa; Chordata; Actinopteri; Syngnathiformes; Syngnathidae. The record is from RefSeq and is a predicted model, not a curated record.